GAUGAACGCUGGCGGCGUGCCUAAUACAUGCAAGUCGAGCGAACGGACGAGAAGCUUGCUUCUCUGAUGUUAGCGGCGGACGGGUGAGUAACACGUGGAUAACCUACCUAUAAGACUGGGAUAACUUCGGGAAACCGGAGCUAAUACCGGAUAAUAUUUUGAACCGCAUGGUUCAAAAGUGAAAGACGGUCUUGCUGUCACUUAUAGAUGGAUCCGCGCUGCAUUAGCUAGUUGGUAAGGUAACGGCUUACCAAGGCAACGAUGCAUAGCCGACCUGAGAGGGUGAUCGGCCACAUUGGAACUGAGACACGGUCCAGACGCCUACGGGAGGCAGCAGUAGGGAAUCUUCCGCAAUGGGCGAAAGCCUGACGGAGCAACGCCGCGUGAGUGAUGAAGGUCUUCGGAUCGUAAAACUCUGUUAUUAGGGAAGAACAUAUGUGUAAGUAACUGUGCACAUCUUGACGGUACCUAAUCAGAAAGCCACGGCUAACUACGUG
RNAcentral lists this ribosomal RNA (497 nucleotides) under uncultured bacterium. RNAcentral's name for it is "partial 16S ribosomal RNA". It matches the Rfam family "Bacterial small subunit ribosomal RNA", at positions 28 to 507 of the family's 1533-position model. The record is from RNAcentral.